Molecule: transfer RNA, 73 nt
Filed under: Methylobacterium gregans
Lineage: Bacteria; Pseudomonadati; Pseudomonadota; Alphaproteobacteria; Hyphomicrobiales; Methylobacteriaceae
Description: tRNA-Gly
Source: RNAcentral
ACUUGGUGGUGAAGCGGAGUUGCACCGGCGCCUCCCAGGCGCCGAAAUGCCGGAUCGCCGCCGAGAGCGAGCC